RNAcentral lists this long non-coding RNA (920 nucleotides) under Heterocephalus glaber (naked mole-rat). RNAcentral describes it as "lncRNA (ENSHGLG00100046444.1)". Lineage: Eukaryota; Metazoa; Chordata; Mammalia; Rodentia; Bathyergidae. The record is from RNAcentral.
CCGACAGUGGCUCUCUCUAUUGACCAGGCUGGCCCGGGCAGUGGAGCAGAAACAAUGAGCCCCGGCAUCACAGCAGCUGGACACGGUCCCUGACGAACUCCUGCUCCUGGAGGGUCCACAGUGGAGUGAGCAGCUGUAUUAACUGAUGUUCCCUGGAGAAACAACCAAAGGAGAGAGAUCUGGAGAGAUUUGUUGUCAGGAAACUGCCGUGGAAGAUGUGGACGGGGAGCGUCUUGUAUGCAGGGUUUCCAGAAGCGGAAGACCCAGAUUUGAGAAUUAAGGAUUUAUGGAUGCAUCACAUGCAUUAUUUGAAGGUUCUUUCCCUAAACGUGUGGUGUCCUGUGAGUGUGUCCUUCUAAAGCUCACAGGUUGGAAGCAUGGUUCUCAGCAUGGCAGUACUGGCAGAUGGUGAGAUCUUUCAAAGCUGCAGGUGGGGUGACUGCCCGUCACCCAACACGGCCACCAAGGAGAGGAGAUGCGUGAGGCUGAGGUGACUCCCCGGUCACACUUCAGAUGGCCUUUGGACGUCACAGAGCGCUCAGAUUCCCGGCGGUGGUUUGUGCUCGGAACAGAAUGGCCGGAUGUGCGGAGGACACGCUCCCCCACUUGAAGCUCACUUAGGGUGCUCUCAAAGCAGAUGCCUGCCUCAAGUGGACCUUUGGACUUUCCCUUGACUCAUGCGGGCUUCCUCCCCCACCCCUGGGCCUGUCCCAGCUGCCUCGGUGCCAGGACAUUCUGGCUCUUCACACACAGAAGCCAAGAGGGAUGGUUCAAGGGGACUCAGAAGGCAGUCGGGCCUGAACUUGACCCUGCAGGUCUGGAGGCUGAGACUGGAGAGCCCCAUCACCCACUGCCAACACCCAGAGGCCUCUGGGAAGGCCAAAUUAGGCCUGGGUGGGGUGCUGGCCUGGAGUGGUGGC